This 370-nucleotide ribosomal RNA is filed under the name uncultured bacterium. RNAcentral describes it as "bacterial SSU rRNA". It matches the Rfam family "Bacterial small subunit ribosomal RNA", at positions 527 to 896 of the family's 1533-position model. The record is from RNAcentral.
GGAGGGGGCUAGCGUUGUUCGGAAUUACUGGGCGUAAAGGGCGCGUAGGCGGCGCGAUAAGUUGGGCGUGAAAGGCCCGGGCUCAACCCGGGGACUGCGCUUGAUACUGUCGCGCUGUGAGUCCGGGAGAGGAUGGCGGAAUUCCCAGUGUAGAGGUGAAAUUCGUAGAUAUUGGGAAGAACACCGGUGGCGAAGGCGGCCAUCUGGACCGGCACUGACGCUGAGGCGCGAAAGCGUGGGGAGCAAACAGGAUUAGAUACCCUGGUAGUCCACGCCGUAAACGAUGCGUGCUAGACGUUGGGGGGCUUGCCCUUCGGUGUCGUCGCUAACGCAUGAAGCACGCCGCCUGGGGAGUACGGUCGCAAGAUUA